UACAGAGGUCCCAAGCGUUGUUCGGAUUCAUUGGGCGUAAAGCGUGUGUAGGCGGAUUGGUAAGUACUUUGUGAAAUCCCACGGCUUAACCGUGGAACUGCUUGGUAUACUGCCAGUCUUGAGCCAGCUAGGGGCUACCGGAACAAAUGGUGGAGCGGUGAAAUGCGUAGAUAUCAUUUGGAACGCCGAUGGUGAAAACAGGUAGCUGGGGCUGUGCUGACGCUGAGACACGAAAGCCAGGGGAGCAAACGGG
RNAcentral lists this ribosomal RNA (253 nucleotides) under uncultured bacterium. RNAcentral's name for it is "partial 16S ribosomal RNA". It matches the Rfam family "Bacterial small subunit ribosomal RNA", at positions 524 to 776 of the family's 1533-position model. The record is from RNAcentral.